Pseudophryne corroboree (corroboree frog) is the source of this 1558-nucleotide long non-coding RNA. RefSeq lists it as uncharacterized. NCBI's taxonomy places the organism in Eukaryota, Metazoa, Chordata, Amphibia, Anura, Myobatrachidae. The transcript is spliced from 6 exons. The record is from RefSeq and is a predicted model, not a curated record.
GUACGAGCCGCUCUCAGCGCUGAGCGGCACAGUUCAGUCCGCCGGCGGACCCUGGACUCACCCGUCACAAGGUAUGUGACUGUACUGGACAUUUCCAGAUGAAAUAAGGACGACAGAUACAGAAGAUAAAAAGGUUCCCCAAUGACUCUCACUGCUAGGGAGAUGGGACUGGACAGACUUUAGCCUAUCAUUUGCCAGGAGAGCAGCAGGAAAGCACCACUGGGAACGUGGAACCCAGUGGAUAACAUCUGCAAGUGCACCUGGACCAGGCAUCGCCCACCUAUUCAAACUGACCUAUGACCCCUCCUGUACUGUAAAUGACCAGCCCUUUGACCUAUGGGUGAAGGGAUUACAGAUUCCAUUGUUUCAUGAUUUGGACAAAUGUAUAAAAGCCACGCUGCCUGGCUGGUCAAACACAUUCUCUGAAGAUCAUCUAUUCAGAUAGACUGAGGACCGGAACCGGGUGGCGCUGGCGAACAAACAUCACUUUCUUCCAGGGUUGGACUGGCCCACAGGGGUACCAGGGAAACCACCGGUAGGCCCCACUGCCUGAGGGCCCAUUCCUUCCUCUAGGGAUCAGGUUCCAGACUGUGCACUUCUAUUAUAUAUGGGCCAUCUUGAGCGUGCCAGUCUUCCAGACAGCCACCACAGCCUUCUAUUGGGAGUCGGGACAAGGACAACAGCCAACUGCUGCACACACCACAGAUACCUUCAUUUGCAUAGCCAUUUGUUCCCCAGGUACGGUCCCCAACAUUACAGCCACUUGGUGGUCCUGAGGAAACAAAACAUGUAAUGCUAACAUUAGAGAUGUCUCCAGCUACACCAUGCCACAAUGACUAUAAACACAAAGACCACCCAGCCUAUACUUACAAGAGAUGUAACAAAUUUUCCUGCUGAUACUGCCUCUGAUUUCCUCUUAUAAUAUGGCACUAAUGGGCACACAAAUAAGACACUUGUCACAAAUCACCAGGCAUUUGCAUAAACGUGACAGUGGCCAUUUUGCCAGUACUCCCAAAUGAGAAUUUGAGUAAACUCAAUACAAAAAUAAAUGCUAAUUUUGAAAUUAGGAUGAGAAUACUUGAAUCAAUUCACCAUGUGUUAGCGGUACAAAAAAUGCAAACAUUAUUUUUCAGGAUGGUUUUUUAAGAAUAUUCCAAGCUCAAACCAAUGUUACUAGGGACAUGAACCAAAACAUUAUGUCAUUGGGGACACAAAUAGUUAGCCGGUUCCCUGAGGCAACAAGUAGCUCCAGUACCAGUUUAAACUCCUCACCUGCACCAAUACCACCCAGGCAUGGGGCCUGCACCAGAGGUGGGGCUGCAUGUCCAAGUUGGUCUCCACCCAGCCCUUGUUAGCCACCUAAAAGGAGACAUUCAAAAUAACUUCAAUUAUAUGUUGUACUGUUGUACUUGUAUGCCGAAAAAAAAUAAUUUAGUUGUCAUUUCUAUAUGUGACCUAUUUCAGGAAUUUGCUAUCAUUUGAACAACAGUUUACCAAAAAGCCAGUAACAAUAUUAUAUGCUGGUGUUGACAGAAUAAAAUAUGGUAAUAAUCAGUUA